AUUGAACGCUGGCGGCAUGCCUUACACAUGCAAGUCGAACGGCAGCGGACCUUCGGGUGCCGGCGAGUGGCGAACGGGUGAGUAAUAUAUCGGAACGUGCCUUUCAGUGGGGGAUAACGUAGCGAAAGUUACGCUAAUACCGCAUAUUCUCUGAGGAGGAAAGCAGGGGACCUUCGGGCCUUGCGCUGAUAAAGCGGCCGAUAUCAGAUUAGCUAGUUGGUGGGGUAAAGGCCUACCAAGGCGACGAUCUGUAGCGGGUCUGAGAGGAUGAUCCGCCACACUGGGACUGAGACACGGCCCAGACUCCUACGGGAGGCAGCAGUGGGGAAUUUUGGACAAUGGGCGAAAGCCUGAUCCAGCCAUGCCGCGUGAGUGAAGAAGGCCUUCGGGUUGUAAAGCUCUUUCGGCCGGGAAGAAAUCGCACAGGCUAAUACCUUGUGUGGAUGACGGUACCGGAAUAAGAAGCACCGGCUAACUCCGUGCCAGCAGCCGCGGUAA
Molecule: ribosomal RNA, 498 nt
Filed under: uncultured bacterium
Lineage: Bacteria
Description: partial 16S ribosomal RNA
Rfam family: Bacterial small subunit ribosomal RNA
Source: RNAcentral